RNAcentral lists this ribosomal RNA (259 nucleotides) under uncultured bacterium. RNAcentral describes it as "partial small subunit ribosomal RNA". It matches the Rfam family "Bacterial small subunit ribosomal RNA", at positions 26 to 285 of the family's 1533-position model. The record is from RNAcentral.
AGGACGAACGCUGGCGGCGUGCUUAACACAUGCAAGUCGAGCGAGGCCCCUCCUUCGGGAGGGUGUCCUAGCGGCGAACGGGUGAGUAACACGUGGGCAACCUGCCCUCAGCUCUGGGAUAACCCCGGGAAACCGGGGCUAAUACCGAAUACGACCUCCACGGGCAUCUGCGGAGGUGGAAAGGUUUUCCGGCUGAGGAUGGGCCCGCGGCCUAUCAGCUAGUUGGUGGGGUGAUGGCCCACCAAGGCGACGACGGGUA